RNAcentral lists this ribosomal RNA (471 nucleotides) under uncultured Lachnospiraceae bacterium. RNAcentral describes it as "bacterial SSU rRNA". It matches the Rfam family "Bacterial small subunit ribosomal RNA", at positions 912 to 1382 of the family's 1533-position model. The record is from RNAcentral. Lineage: Bacteria; Bacillati; Bacillota; Clostridia; Lachnospirales; Lachnospiraceae.
GACGGGGGCCCGGCACAAGCAGCGGAGCAUGUGGUUUAAUUCGAAGCAACGACGAAGAACCUUACCAAGACUUGACAUCCCCUGACAGCUGUUGAAAGGCAGUGUCUCUUCGGAGCAGGGAGACAGGUGGUGCAUGGUUGUCGUCAGCUCGUGUCGUGAGAUGUUGGGUUAAGUCCCGCAACGAGCGCAACCCUUAUCCUUAGUUACCAGCACGUAAAGGUGGGGACUCUAGGGAGACCGCCGGGGACGACUCGGAGGAAGGUGGGGACGACGUCAAAUCAUCAUGCCCCUUAUGUCUUGGGCUACACACGUGCUACAAUGGCCGCAACAGAGGGAAGCGAGAGCGCAAGCUGGAGCAAAACCCUAAAAAGCGGUCCCAGUUCGGAUUGUGGGCUGCAACCCGCCCACAUGAAGUCGGAGUUGCUAGUAAUCGCGAAUCAGCAUGUCGCGGUGAAUGCGUUCCCGGGCCUU